CCUACGGGAGGCAGCAGUGGGGAAUUUUGGACAAUGGGCGCAAGCCUGAUCCAGCCAUGCCGCGUGCGGGAAGAAGGCCUUCGGGUUGUAAACCGCUUUUGUCAGGGAAGAAACGCUCUGGGUUAAUACCUCGGGGUAAUGACGGUACCUGAAGAAUAAGCACCGGCUAACUACGUGCCAGCAGCCGCGGUAAUACGUAGGGUGCAAGCGUUAAUCGGAAUUACUGGGCGUAAAGCGUGCGCAGGCGGUUAGAUAAGUUUGAUGUGAAAUCCCCGGGCUCAACCUGGGAACUGCAUUGAAGACUGUCUGACUAGAGUACGGCAGAGGGGGGUGGAAUUCCACGUGUAGCAGUGAAAUGCGUAGAGAUGUGGAGGAACACCGAUGGCGAAGGCAGCCCCCUGGGCCGAUACUGACGCUCAUGCACGAAAGCGUGGGGAGCAAACAGGAUUAGAUACCCUGGUAGUCCACGCCCUAAACGAUGUCAACUAGUUGUUGGUAGGGUUAAACCUAUUAGUAACGUAGCUAACGCGUGAAGUUGACCGCCUGGGGAGUACGGUCGCAAGAUUAAAACUCAAAGGAAUUGACGG
Molecule: ribosomal RNA, 587 nt
Filed under: uncultured beta proteobacterium
Lineage: Bacteria; Pseudomonadati; Pseudomonadota; Betaproteobacteria
Description: bacterial SSU rRNA
Rfam family: Bacterial small subunit ribosomal RNA
Source: RNAcentral